Long non-coding RNA from Micropterus dolomieu (smallmouth bass), 2012 nucleotides. RefSeq lists it as uncharacterized. The record is from RefSeq and is a predicted model, not a curated record. Lineage: Eukaryota; Metazoa; Chordata; Actinopteri; Centrarchiformes; Centrarchidae. The transcript has 3 exons.
CAGCACUGUGUAAAUUUAACCACUGCAAGCUUAUUAGGAGUUGGCUGUUCACUUUCUCUGUGAGACUGACCCACAGGAUGAGGAGGAGGACAACACCAGAUGACAUACACAAACCGCUUUUUGGAUGGUGCCUUUUCCAAGAGUGCAGCUUCAAAUGCAGUGUUGCACCAGCAAACUGGAAUUUUUUAUUACAACAGGGAGCAGUGGGCAGCCGCUGUGCAGCACCCGGGGACCAACUCCAGAUCUUAUGUCAGUGUCUGGUCAACGCACUGAGUGAACAAACCUAACAUGUUUUUGAUGAAAUAUGUGGCUGUAAUAUGCAACCUGAUCACUGUGGUUAUAUUUCUCCUCUUAAAAGGACAUUUUUCCUUGCCUGUGUCGCCAAGUGCUAGCUCAUGGUGGGAAUUGUUGGGUCUCUAAAUAAUAGCACAAAGAGUACGGUCUAGACCUGCACUUUAUGAACAGCACUAUGAGAUAACUUUUAUUGUGAAUUGGCACUAUUUAAAUAGAAUUGAAAUGAAUUAUUUUAAAAAUCCUAACUUUCUUGUAGACCAUUACCAGGAUCGCGUUUAUGUCCCAAUAUGAAAAAGAAGCAGGGAACUAUUUUGUUCCCACAUCAUCAGCAACUAUUUUUAAAAAAUACAAAUAAAUAAACUUUCAUUCUAUGUAUGGCAUUGCGAUAGUAUUUAAUAGCAGAUAGUUAUUGCAUUAAUCAUAAUGAUGACAUACUAUUAAGCACAGGAACCAUGUUGGCCAUCAGAUCAUCAUCAUGUCAGCUUAAGAAUAUAAAUCAUCUGCUCCUGGCUGGAUAUUUGAGCUGCUGUACUCGUGUGAAGCUCUGCAAGUCGCAGACAACAAUAUGCUCCGUCAGAGGAAAACUCUCCACAGUUGUCCCAAACUGUCAGUGUGUGCAGAGAGCCCUGUGUUUAAAGGGAUGAAAGUAGUGAAUGUGACUGGUCAUGGUUGUCACAGCCUCUAACACGGCCACCUAUAAUUAUUAACAAUGUAUUCUUUCGGAUCCCACCCCUUAUCCGAGUGCACCACAGGUGUGCCAUAAGAGGCUGGGAAUGAUCAAAAGUUUGUUGUGCACUGGGCAGGGUGCAUUUUACUGUGAUCUGCGCCGCAUGCAGCACAGGGCCGUGGGCUGGAUUUGAACUUGGGCUGCUGUGGUAAGGACUCAGCAUUGUCCAGUUUGCAGCCUACUGAGAGCUCCCACGGACCAUCGAGCUCCAUGCCUUCAGCUGACCUGCAUGAAGGACCCCUGCCUGAGCUGGAGAUAACCACGGGCCGCGCAUUCGUCCUGCCAUCAUGCGUGUCAUUAUAGGUACUGUCCAUUCAUCGUAUUACGCUCAUGGGAUGUUCCAAAGUCUUCUAAUCAGAAAUAGUGUAAUUCACCUCUCCAGCUAGCAGCAUCCGGUCAUAAACAGUCAUAGAUAUCUCACAUAUCAUUACAUCUGUCUUUAUCAUGUACUUCUGUCAUCAUGUAUAUCACUGUCAAUCUUAUAUAUUAACUAUGCAUCAUAUUUUAUCCUCUCUUUGUUCGUUAUAUGUAUACAUUCUGCAAAUAAUUACCAUAUACUGAGGGAAAUUGUAUGUGUGUAAAUUGUUUAAUAUUGGAUCCCAAAAACUAGAAAAGCGACUUAGUAUAUGGAAAUACAGCUCAUAUAUUUCUGGCCCAUUGUCACUGUGAAGACUAUGUUCACUACAUAACCAAAUGAGAAAAAAAGGUAUGACUAAUGACACUAUUAGUCCCUCUGGUCUUACCGUAGGUCCCACAGGUCCUGAGGGUCCCCUUUCCCCUAGAGGCCCUGGGUGUCCUGGCAUUCCUUGGAAACCCUGUACAAUACAAAUAGAUGGGUGGGUAGAACACCAGACAAAUAUCAAAAUGGAUGGAUAGACAUGUGGUCAUAUACGCUGAUUUCUGAGACCCCUAGGACAAUCAUGCUGUGAAGUGACCAUAUCAUCAUGUGUGCAUUCCUAUUCCUAUAUUAAACUGUCUUGUGGUCCUGAGA